Molecule: ribosomal RNA, 1253 nt
Filed under: metagenome
Description: SSU rRNA
Rfam family: Eukaryotic small subunit ribosomal RNA
Source: RNAcentral
GUAGUCAUAUGCUUGUCUCAAAGAUUAAGCCAUGCAUGUCUAAGUUCAGGCGAAAAUAAAGUGAAACCGCGAAUGGCUCAUUACAUCAGUUAUGGUUCCUUAGAUCGCACUUACUACUUGGAUAACUGUGGUAAUUCUAGAGCUAAUACAUGCGCUGGGCUCCAACCCUCGUGGAAGGAGCGCUUUUAUUAGAUCAAAGCCAAUCGGGCCUUCGGGUCCGUUUACUUGGUGACUCUGAAUAACUUUGCUGAUCGCAUGGUCUCGUACCGGCGACGUAUCUUUCAAGUGUCUGCCUUAUCAACUGUCGAUGGUAGGUUAUGCGCCUACCAUGGUGGUAACGGGUAACGGGGAAUCAGGGUUCGAUUCCGGAGAGGGAGCCUGAGAAACGGCUACCACAUCCAAGGAAGGCAGCAGGCGCGCAAAUUACCCACUCCCAGCUCGGGGAGGUAGUGACGAAAAAUAACGAUACGGAACUCUUACGAGGCUCCGUAAUCGGAAUGAGUACACUUUAAAUCCUUUAACGAGGAUCUAUUGGAGGGCAAGUCUGGUGCCAGCAGCCGCGGUAAUUCCAGCUCCAAUAGCGUAUAUUAAUUUUGUUGCGGUUAAAAAGCUCGUAGUUGGAUCUCGGUUUCGGGCGAGUGGUGUACCUUGCGGUAUUUACUGUUUGCCCGGACGAUUUUGUUGGUUCGUUUAUGGUUCUCUUAACCGAGUGCCAUAAGUGGCCAGCACGUUUACUUUGAAAAAAUUGGAGUGCUCAAAGCAGGCGCUACAGCCUGAACAUUAGUGCAUGGAAUAAUGGAAUAGGAUCUCGGUUCUAUUUCGUUGGCUUUCGGAGUCGAGGUAAUGAUUAAUAGGGACAGACGGGGGCAUUCGUACUGCGACGUUAGAGGUGAAAUUCUUGGAUCGUCGCAAGACGAACUACUGCGAAAGCAUUUGCCAAGAAUGUUUUCAUUAAUCAAGAACGAAAGUUAGAGGUUCGAAGGCGAUCAGAUACCGCCCUAGUUCUAACCAUAAACGAUGUCGACCGGCGAUCCGUUAUCGUUAACUGAAUGACUUAACGGGCAGCCUCCGGGAAACCAGAGUGUUUGGAUUCCGGGGGAAGUAUGGUUGCAAAGCUGAAACUUAAAGGAAUUGACGGAAGGGCACCACCAGGAGUGGAGCCUGCGGCUUAAUUUGACACAACACGGGAAAUCUCACCAGGCCCGGACACCGGAAGGAUUGACAGAUUGAGAGCUCUUUCUUGAUUCGGUGGG